Non-coding RNA from Vicia faba (fava bean), 267 nucleotides. The record is from the annotation of a GenBank genome assembly. Lineage: Eukaryota; Viridiplantae; Streptophyta; Magnoliopsida; Fabales; Fabaceae.
AUGGAUGCUGCUCUUGCAACUACUCGAUUCUCACAUCAAAAAUCGAAGCAUCAUCCAUGUAAGAAUUGCAAUCGCACUGGUCAUAUAUUUGCUAACUGUCCUACUAUAGAGUGUAGGUACUGCCAUGGUAUCGGUCACAUUCUUGAACAUUGUCCCACGCGACCUCCAAAAAAAAUCGUGGCUUCACCAAAUCCAAGAAUGUUCCAACGUCUGGAUCUUCCUCCAUCUCUGCUGCUGCCACUGAAGGUUCGACGACCAUCACUUUGA